ACUCAAAGGAAUAGACGGGGGCCCGCACAAGCGGUGGAGCAUGUGGUUUAAUUCGACGCAACGCGAAGAACCUUACCGGGGUUUGACAUGCACGGGACAGGUGUGGAAACACACCCUCCCUUCGGGGUCCGUGCACAGGUGCUGCAUGGCUGUCGUCAGCUCGUGUCGUGAGAUGUUGGGUUAAGUCCCGCAACGAGCGCAACCCUUGUCAUUAGUUGCCAGCGAGUAAUGUCGGGCACUCUAGUGAGACUGCCGGUGGUAAGCCGGAGGAAGGUGGGGAUGACGUCAAGUCCUCAUGGCCCUUACAUCCCGGGCUACACACGUGCUACAAUGGGCGAUACAAAGGGUUCCGAUGCCGCGAGGUGGAGGCAAUCCCAAAAAGUCGCUCUCAGUUCGGAUUGCAGUCUGCAACUCGACUGCAUGAAGGUGGAAUCGCUAGUAAUCGCGAAUCAGCAGGUCGCGGUGAAUACGUUCCCGGGCCUUGCACACACCGCCCGU
RNAcentral lists this ribosomal RNA (498 nucleotides) under uncultured bacterium. RNAcentral describes it as "partial 16S ribosomal RNA". It matches the Rfam family "Bacterial small subunit ribosomal RNA", at positions 899 to 1397 of the family's 1533-position model. The record is from RNAcentral.